Molecule: ribosomal RNA, 253 nt
Filed under: uncultured bacterium
Lineage: Bacteria
Description: partial 16S ribosomal RNA
Rfam family: Bacterial small subunit ribosomal RNA
Source: RNAcentral
UACGGAGGGUGCAAGCAUUGAUCGGAAUUACUGGGCGUAAAGGGCGCGUAGGCGGCUUUAAAAGUCAGAUGUGAAAUUCCGGGGCUCAACCCCGGAGCUGCAUUUGAAACUCUAGAGCUAGAGUAUAGUUAGGGUAAACGGAAUUCCACGUGUAGCGGUGAAAUGCGUAGAUAUGUGGAAGAACACCGGUGGUGAAGACGGUUUACUGGGCUAUAACUGACGCUGAGGCGCGAAAGCAUGGGGAGCAAACAGG